Elaeis guineensis (African oil palm) is the source of this 849-nucleotide non-coding RNA. NCBI's taxonomy places the organism in Eukaryota, Viridiplantae, Streptophyta, Magnoliopsida, Arecales, Arecaceae. The record is from RefSeq and is a predicted model, not a curated record.
UUACAGUGGGUCGUCCAUGCAACGGAUUUCCUGGUGUCCAAGCACGCGCAUUGACAGAUCGGGUGGAAGAGGAAGGUUUUCCGUUAGGGUUUGAGAUCUCUGAGAUGGCUGGGCAAGCUAAGGCUGUGGCAUCUGAAGGCCUUGUUACUCGCACCAGUUCAGCAUGCUGUGGUGCGGAUGGUUUUCACAGGCCAUUACCAAGCUUUGAGCAAAUUGGGAGCUACAAAAUUGUUCCUAGAUUCCCUUUUGGUUCUUCUUUCCAGUUUGGGACAUCCCAGCCAAAGAUUUCUUCCCUUGGAAGCCGAGGCCUCCAUGCGAGCCGGGUCAUGUCUGAAUCCACAAAAGUUUCCAACCGUCCAUUGUCGCCUCAUCUGCCUCUGAAGAAGCCACAACUUAGUGCGACGUAUUCAAUUUCUCAUCGUAUAUUUGGCGCUUCAGUAGCAUCUCUAAUCCUUCUAGUUCCUGUUGCUGUGAAGUUCAGCCUUAUGUAUGAUGUAUGAAAGCCAAUGGUUGCAGUAGUUUCACGUCACCAGCUUUUCUGAGUUCUGUUACAAACCAGUAUUUAUCUGUUUGCAUGACCAAGCCAUGGUGAUGGCAUGGGAACUGGUGUUGUGUUUUGUUUGCAAAUAACCAUUCCAGCUAAGUAGGAGUGGCUGGAAUAAGAACCAAUUGUUCUAUUUGGGUUGUUUACGUUUCUUAUUGCCUGGAAGACCAGGCCUAGUUUUUGCAGUUCUUCCUACUGUAAAAUUGACCUUCUGUUGCCUAUCCCGGCUGUGGAGCGGUAAACUCAUCUGAUUCCCAAAGAUGGAUUUUCUAAAAGGAAAAAAAGGGAAAAUAAGUGUUCUUGAA